AGCAGCCGCGGUAAUUCCAGCUCCAAUAGCGUAUAUUAAAGUUGUUGUGGUUAAAAAGCUCGUAGUUGAACCUUGGGCCUGGCUGGCCGGUCCGCCUCACCGCGUGUACUGGUCCGGCCGGGCCUUUCCCUCUGUGGAACCCCAUGCCCUUCACUGGGUGUGGCGGGGAAACAGGACUUUUACUGUGAAAAAAUUAGAGUGUUUAAAGCAGGCUAACGCUUGAAUACAUUAGCAUGGAAUAAUGAAAUAGGACGACGAUCCUAUUUUGUUGGUUUCUAGGAUUGACGUAAUGAUUAAUAGGGAUAGUUGGGGGCAUUAGUAUUCAAUUGUCAGAGGUGAAAUUCUUGGAUUUAUUGAAGACUGACUACUGCGAAAGCAUUUGCCAAGGAUGUUUUCAUUAAUCAAGAACGAAAGUUAGGGGAUCGAAGACGAUCAGAUACCGUCGUAGUCUUAACCAUAAACUAUGCCGACUAGGGAUCGGAUGAUGUUAAUUUUAUAAUGACUCA
This 506-nucleotide ribosomal RNA is filed under the name uncultured Paraglomus. Its description in RNAcentral is "SSU rRNA". It matches the Rfam family "Eukaryotic small subunit ribosomal RNA", at positions 569 to 1078 of the family's 1831-position model. The record is from RNAcentral. Lineage: Eukaryota; Fungi; Glomeromycota; Glomeromycetes; Paraglomerales; Paraglomeraceae.